UGGAUAUUUUUUAAAAUUACAUUCAUGAACUGUGUUGCUGUACAGAAUAGAACUUCCUCUUCCAUCCAGCAGGUGGGGGUAAGGCUCCCUGAGACACUCUAGACUGCGCAUGCGCAACAUCGCAUCCCAGUUCUGCCGGUGACGCUUCGAGAGCGUUUUGGAAAAGUUGCUGUACUUCGUAUUUUGGAGUUAUACACGGAUCUAAGAUCUACUGCAACCUAAUGAGAGUGAAGUUGGUGCAGCAUCUGCCUGGACAAUGAUGAGCUGCUGUUUUGGUGGCCGGGAGUGUUCUCUGCAGCAGAGGUGGAAGCUGAAUUUGUGAGCAUUACUCCUGCUCCCAUCAUCUCAAAGGUCCUUGCCCGUUGUCCCAGUUCAACAAGAGGAAUCUGCACAAAGGAAAAUCAGCAUCACACAUGUAAAUCCAGAGGACUGAUGGUGGUGAAAAAAGCACCACCAUGAGAAUGCUGAGACUGACUGCAAACUGGAGUUGGAGAUUCUAUGCACAUUUGGACUAUAUAGAUGUCAGCAUUUCAUUUAAAGCAGCAUCUGCAGUGAUUCACAAGGUAAUCCACAGCUGUCAUUGCAUUGGUGGUGGACCUGCCAAACAACAAUGCCUGCUGUGAUGACAAUGCCACCAUCCCUCCUCUCUCCUGCAGGAAACCCUAACGCACUUCAGCUGCUGCUUCCUUCUCCACUGCUACACACCCUAAAAUAAAAAACAAACACAUGACUACAAUUGUUUCUCUGCUGUAUAAAUGCUUUUAAAUACAACAGCUGGACAUGGCUUCUAGCUCUUUAAGAUGAUUCACCACAAAACAGAAUAACAUGACUGUCUGACUCAAGCUACAGAAAACUUUCUACAGUAGCUUUUAAACCCACAAUUUGCUUACAAGGAUACAAUAAUCAUAAAGCAAUUUCUGAUGCUGCUGUUAGAGGAUGUGAGCUGGAUUAGAAAAGAAAAUGUGUAAGUGCUGCCCUCGUGUGGCUUCCAGCUGAAACCAACCUGCACUUCAAAAGAAUUUUCCUGCAUUGAAACAAAUACGAUGCAUUUCAUUUUGCACACAGGAUCCUAUUAUUUGCAGAACUUCUGUAAUAAGUUUACAAUCCUAAAAUGACCCAGGUCUUAUUUGGAGGACAAUUUUCGGUCAGUUAAAAGUUCAACUAUUAAAGCCCAACUUGCCUUAAACCGACUCCAACAUUUCAGAAAUCUCAUGUCUUCAGUGAUGGCGUGAAAAGUGUAUUUUUGUCUAAUAUGUCAGGUUUAAAAGGUUAAAUCUUCCUGGUUUCCUUCUAAUGGAACAACACAUGAAUGAACAUGAUUACACAUCUAAAUUAACUUGUAUUUUCAGAUCUUGGAUUUCUUUGUCUGCAUCCAAAAAUGCCUACUUUUUAGACCUAAAAUAUUUUAUUUGACUGUGUUUAGGUUAAAAAUAAAAUAUAAUCAAAGAUUAGUCAUUGUUUCACCACUAUAUACACAGUCAAGGAAAACUAUCCAAAUUUGCAACGAUUUCUCAGAAUAAACUGAAAUUAAGUCACAGCAAUCUCUCUUGUAAAACACUGGUUUUAAUUUUAAAGAAAUAUGAAAAAUGUACUUAUUCAAAAGCACUUGAGUAAUUUAGAGAUUAAGGUUAAGCAAAUACAAUAUUAGAUGUAAUAUAGUUAACACCAACUGCACUGUAAACUUUUAAAGCUGUAUGAAGGACAGAUAAACCACAGAAACAAAGUUUUGGUUUUUUGGUUUGCUAAACAGAGCAUGGGGAGAACUAAAACUUUGAUUACAACUCUGAUAUAGAACUUUAAUUUACACUUGAUACAUUUUUGUGACUCCAUGUCUGCUAAUCAACAGAUGAUCCAUCAAUGACUCACAAAAUCCUCAACAACCCAUCUCAUUCACUUCUUCUGUGACGUGAUUUGUUCUAAACAACUUGUCUGUCACUGAAAGCAUUUUUAGUUUACCAAAGUAAUAACAUAUUUUAAGAAAUCUUUGUCCUGUAAAAUGUACACUUUUUAAUGGCUAAAAAUACUGUAUCAAAUGUACAUAAUACUGCUGUGUAUAAUGCUUGACUGUUAAUGAUGUAAUGUCCCAUCUAAAAGUUUAAAUUUAACUGAGAAUAAUGCAAUUUCACAUUUCAUUUACAGUGUUUUUUAGGUUUUAGCAAUGCUGUUGCUAAUAGUUGAAUUCGACCUAUCAGUAGUGUCACGCAGCAUCGGGAUACUUUUAGAAUAGUUCUGUUUUUGUACUUAUUUCAGAGCAAACAUGCCCCCAGAAAUGGUUAAAAUUGAAGGCUUUAAAGCCUCUAUCAGGAUUUACAUCUAUUUUAUGCCAGUUUUCCUGUCUUUGCUGAUGCUGCACUGAAUGUUUCACAGUUUAAGGUUCACUUUGUCUAAAAUCACAUCUUAGAUUACAUGAAUGUCUGCUUGUUCAAUAACCUGCCAGAAAACAGACCUGUUCAAGGAACACUUUUCACUUUACUCCUGUACUUUUCUUCCCUGACCACAUGUGUUUUGACACAUUCUGCUCAGUAAAGAGAUAGACCACAAUUUAACAUGUCAUAUUGUUCCUUUAACGUCAGGAGGGAAAAAAGUAACUGCAACUGUGCAAUAGACUAAAGCAAUGUAGGCAAACAUCACUCACCUUGUGAAUCAC
Long non-coding RNA from Amphiprion ocellaris (clown anemonefish), 2647 nucleotides. NCBI's taxonomy places the organism in Eukaryota, Metazoa, Chordata, Actinopteri, Pomacentridae. The record is from Ensembl.